This 301-nucleotide ribosomal RNA is filed under the name uncultured bacterium. RNAcentral describes it as "partial 16S ribosomal RNA". It matches the Rfam family "Bacterial small subunit ribosomal RNA", at positions 509 to 808 of the family's 1533-position model. The record is from RNAcentral.
CAGUAGCCGCGGGAAUACGUAGGGUGCGAGCGUUAAUCGGAAUUACUGGGCGUAAAGCGUGCGCAGGCGGUUCGUUAAGACAGAUGUGAAAUCCCCGGGCUUAACCUGGGAACUGCAUUUGUGACUGGCGAGCUAGAGUAUGGCAGAGGGGGGUAGAAUUCCACGUGUAGCAGUGAAAUGCGUAGAGAUGUGGAGGAAUACCGAUGGCGAAGGCAGCCCCCUGGCCAAUACUGACGCUCAUGCACGAAAGCGUGGGGAGCAAACAGGAUUAGAUACCCCUGUAGUCCCUGUCUCUUAUACA